This 430-nucleotide ribosomal RNA is filed under the name uncultured bacterium. Its description in RNAcentral is "bacterial SSU rRNA". It matches the Rfam family "Bacterial small subunit ribosomal RNA", at positions 355 to 776 of the family's 1533-position model. The record is from RNAcentral.
UGGGGAGUAUUGCGCAAUGGGCGAAAGCCUGACGCAGCAACGCCGCGUGGGUGAUGAAGCUUCUCGGAGCGUAAAACCCUGUCAGGGGGGACGAAACAGUGGAGGGUGAAUAACCCUUCACCUUGACGGUACCUCCAAAGGAAGCCCCGGCUAACUCCGUGCCAGCAGCCGCGGUAAUACGGGGGGGGCAAGCGUUGUUCGGAAUCACUGGGCGUAAAGGGCGUGUAGGCGGUCCGGUAAGUCGGUUGUGUAAUCCCUCGGCUCAACUGAGGAAUUGCGGUCGAAACUGCUGGACUAGAGUGCUGGAGAGGAAAGCGGAAUUCCUAGUGUAGCGGUGAAAUGCGUAGAUAUUAGGAGGAACACCAGUGGCGAAGGCGGCUUUCUGGACAGUAACUGACGCUGAGGCGCGAAAGCGUGGGGAGCAAACAGG